Molecule: long non-coding RNA, 1494 nt
Organism: Saccostrea cuccullata (small rock oyster)
Lineage: Eukaryota; Metazoa; Mollusca; Bivalvia; Ostreida; Ostreidae
Exons: 8
Source: RefSeq, a predicted model, not a curated record
GACGCGUCUAGUGUGUUGGUGUUAGUGUUUGUGUGCUUGUCACCUCUCGCUUUCAGCCAUCACCACUGGCUAGCAGCAAUGUGAAAAGGGAAGGAAUUUUUAUGUCUUCCCCUGCCAGUACAUAGCCUCUCCACAACAAGUCCUAUGCGAUGCCUCCACGUGGAAGCAGACGGAUACUGGGUAGCUAUUGGUCCCAGGCUAAGUUCGCAAGGGCGCACGGGAAGAUUAGUCUCCGAAGUUUUUGCAAGCACCUUAUCUAGGAGAGAAAAAUGAUCACAAUCCCGAUUUAAUAUAAGACUUGAUUGAUUUCAGUGGUAACUGGUAAUAGGAAUGAACCUUUGUCCAUUGUCUGUCUUUGUCAUUUUUGUGAAAACUCACACUUUCAUCUUCAUUGGGCCAAAAUCAACCAAAGUUGGCAGAGUAUCCUUGGAUCAACUGGAGCAGGAAAGGUGACCCUUGUGUGGAAUUAUCCUCAGCGGAAGAAAGUUGAGGCUGACCAGGAUCCUGAAGUGAGGAGGAGUCCCUCUCCCAUUAAACUGCAUUCAUGAGCAGAAAGUAUGAAUUACAAUGGGGGACCAGGGUCAAUCAAUAUAAGAAGAGUCCAUGUCCUGGCUGUGUUUUUAGGCAACAUUUUCAAAAGUGCAGAGGAAGGUUAAGACUGACAAGGAAUUCUAAGGAUGGAGUCCCUCUCUCAUUCCACUGCGGUAAUGAGGAGAAAGCACGGACUUUGACAAGGGAAGAAUGGGGGGGGGGGGGGGACCAGGGCUGACCAAGAGAAGAAGUGUCCAUUGCCAAGCUUUGUCCAGCAGCCAAUAUCUGAUUAAGAAGAGGAUUUACUUCUGUUGCAGAACAGCAAGACCAUGUUAGCUGCAAUAACACUGAAGCAUUCCAAGGUUGUAUGCUGGUAUUGGCCCCAUUUCCAAGAAUGAGCAGGUUAUCAUGAUUCAGCAAGAGUCCAAAGAGAUCAACUGGGGCUGACCUGAAAAUAAAGGUAGACUGGCAUCCAUAGAUUGUUUCUUUAACAGCAGGCAAAUAAAUGAAAUAAGCUUCAACAAUAGUGCAACAAUAGUGUGGAGAGUAAGGUUUGAACUGAAGCCUGAUGUAGUCUGAAUGAAGAAACAAAAAUGUCAGAACUCAGAGGAACUUUUUAUAUUCUUUUCUUCAAACUGGACACAAUAGAUAGCUAAACUGUCAGAGUUCAAUAGACUGUGCAGAUGAAUUCAUUGUUAUCAUAGAGUGAUGGACACAUUACAUAGCUAAAUACGAAGAAUCAAAUGGACAAUGCUGAUGAGUUCAUUGUUAUUAACAAAGUGAGUCAAUGCAUUAGAUAGUUGGAGAAUGAAAUGGACAGUGCUCAGUGUACAUUAUUGUUAACAAAGUGAUGGACACAUUAAAUAGAUAAACUCACAAAAGUCAUUGUUCAAUGACAAUGUUUAAUUCAUUGUUAUUAACAAAGUCAUGGACACACUAAGCAGCUCAAUGCAAGGAAUCUAA